This 253-nucleotide ribosomal RNA is filed under the name uncultured bacterium. RNAcentral's name for it is "partial 16S ribosomal RNA". It matches the Rfam family "Bacterial small subunit ribosomal RNA", at positions 524 to 776 of the family's 1533-position model. The record is from RNAcentral.
UACAGAGGUCUCAAGCGUUGUUCGGAAUUACUGGGCGUAAAGGGCUCGUAGGCGGCCAACUAAGUCGGAUGUGAAAUCCCCAGGCUUAACCUGGGAACUGCAUCCGAUACUGGAUGGCUUGAAUUCGGGAGAGGGAUGCAGAAUUCCAGGUGUAGCGGUGAAAUGCGUAGAUAUCUGGAGGAAUACCGGUGGCGAAGGCGGCAUCCUGGACCAUUUCUGACGCUGAGGCGCGAAAGCUAGGGGAGCAAACGGG